RNAcentral lists this ribosomal RNA (497 nucleotides) under uncultured bacterium. Its description in RNAcentral is "partial 16S ribosomal RNA". It matches the Rfam family "Bacterial small subunit ribosomal RNA", at positions 28 to 507 of the family's 1533-position model. The record is from RNAcentral.
GAUGAACGCUGGCGGCGUGCCUAAUACAUGCAAGUCGAGCGAACAGAUGAGGAGCUUGCUCCUCUGACGUUAGCGGCGGACGGGUGAGUAACACGUGGAUAACCUACCUAUAAGACUGGGAUAACUUCGGGAAACCGGAGCUAAUACCGGAUAAUAUAUUGAACCGCAUGGUUCAAUAGUGAAAGACGGUUUUGCUGUCACUUAUAGAUGGAUCCGCGCCGCAUUAGCUAGUUGUUAAGGUAACGGCUUACCAAGGCAACGAUGCGUAGCCGACCUGAGAGAGUGAUCGGCGACACUGGAACUGAGACGCGGUCCAGACGCCUGCGAGAGGCAGCAGUAGGGAAUCUUCCGCAGUGGGCGAAAGCCUGACGGAGCAACGCCGCGUGAGUGAUGAAGGUCUUCGGAUCGUAAAACUCUGUUAUGAGGGAAGAACAAAUGUGUAAGUAACUAUGCACGGCUUGACGGUACCUAAUCAGAAAGCCACGGCUAACUACGUG